CCGUUUUUGCAGGGAAUUUUGAGAUUUCAAAUUUUGGUUUUGUUCCUAUUUGUGGGACUCCCUCUCCCCAAACUUCAAAACUCUUUGUGAAACGGAAUUACUAUUCUCAACCGAGCUCUAUUGAAAGCCUUGGGUCCGGGCAGUCUGCUCUCGGUGCUGGGAACCCAGGUGCUGGGAACCCAGGAAACUGUGGGAGCUAGAAGUGCCAGGGAGUUGCAAAUUUGAGAGCCAGGGUCCCAGACGCUGUGGGUUUGGAAGCCCACGAUCCCAGUCAGCCUGCUAGAUCGGCUUCCAAGGAGCUGAAUGGGUGCACUGUCAAGACAGCAGGCAGGUUUCUAAGGACCCCUGCCUGGCUUCUGGAGGAAUUUCAUCAAAAUGGAACUGUCGCUAAAAUAGUUUGAUGAAUCAGCAAACUCAAAUCAAAAAUUCGUUCAUGAAAGUGUUUCCAACUAGCUGUAGUUGGAAUCCCUCAACUUUAGCGUAGAAGAGAUGGCUGUGCGAGGUACGUGAUGUGAUUGUCCCUUAGUUACUAACUUGUGGGGCUUUCUUGGCUGUAGGAGGACGAUGCUCUUCGUUUAUUGUCCUUUGUCCUAUUUGGCAUCCUGGCCCGCGUGACCAAAAGAAAAUGGAAGGGCUAUUUCGCCGAGCAGGUUAGACAGAGCUGGGUCACACUUCUGCUGCACCUGCAAGACCCGAACCCCAGGGUUUCAGUGGAAUGCAGAGCUACGUUUCACCUCUGUGUCCCGUUUUUGGGACUGAAGAGGCUCCAAACUGCAGUGAAUGAACACCUUGAUAGCACAGCUGAGCUGAAGCCUGAGGAGCUCCAGGUGGACAUUUGCAGACACCUUGCCAAAGAGAAUGCCGAGCUGCUGGAGAACUUGUACAAAAGCACCAUCACGUACUUCUGUAGCAGCUGGGAAGAGAUGCGGGCAGUUGCAGCCAAGUUAGCUGGCAUCAUCCUGGAACACACAGACAGGCAGCGUAUGAAAUGGCUGGACCUGGAACAUCUGCUGAUGU
This is a non-coding RNA of Caretta caretta (loggerhead turtle), 1017 nucleotides long. The record is from RefSeq and is a predicted model, not a curated record. Lineage: Eukaryota; Metazoa; Chordata; Testudines; Cheloniidae.